GCCCGCUCAGAAACUCAAAGGAAUUGACGGGGCCCGCACAAGCGGAGGAGCAUGUGGUUUAAUUCGAUGAUACGCGAGGAACCUUACCUGGGCUCGAACGUAAGAUGACUGUAGGUGAAAGCUUACAUCUCUUCGGAGCAUUUUACGAGGUGCUGCAUGGUUGUCGUCAGCUCGUGCCGUGAGGUGUCGGGUUAAGUCCCAUAACGAGCGCAACCCUACCUUUAGUUGCCAUCAGGUAAUGCUGGGGACUCUAAAGGAACUGCCUACGCAAGUAGUGAGGAAGGCGGGGAUGACGUCAAAUCAGCACGGUCCUUACGUCCAGGGCUACACACGUGCUACAAUGGCCGAUACAGAGGGCAGCUACCUGGUGACAGGAUGCAAAUCUCCAAAGUCGGUCUCAGUUCGGAUCGGAGUCUGCAACCCGACUCCGUGAAGUUGGAUUCGCUAGUAAUCGCGCAUCAGCCAUGGCGCGGUGAAUACGUUCCCGGGCCUU
RNAcentral lists this ribosomal RNA (493 nucleotides) under uncultured Sphingobacteriales bacterium. Its description in RNAcentral is "bacterial SSU rRNA". It matches the Rfam family "Bacterial small subunit ribosomal RNA", at positions 887 to 1382 of the family's 1533-position model. Lineage: Bacteria; Pseudomonadati; Bacteroidota; Sphingobacteriia; Sphingobacteriales. The record is from RNAcentral.